Molecule: ribosomal RNA, 253 nt
Filed under: uncultured bacterium
Lineage: Bacteria
Description: partial 16S ribosomal RNA
Rfam family: Bacterial small subunit ribosomal RNA
Source: RNAcentral
UACGUAGGUGGCAAGCGUUGUCCGGAUUUACUGGGCGUAAAGGGCGCGUAGGCGGCGACUCUAGUCAGAUGUGAAAGUCCUGGGCUUAACCUGGGGACUGCAUUUGAUACUGGGUUGCUUGAAUUCGGGAGAGGAUAGCGGAAUUCCCAGUGUAGAGGUGAAAUUCGUAGAUAUUGGGAAGAACACCGGUGGCGAAGGCGGCUAUCUGGACCGACAUUGACGCUGAGGCGCGAAAGCGUGGGGAGCAAACAGG